This 99-nucleotide signal recognition particle RNA is filed under the name Noviherbaspirillum pedocola. RNAcentral's name for it is "Bacterial small signal recognition particle RNA". It matches the Rfam family "Bacterial small signal recognition particle RNA". Rfam says of the family: The signal recognition particle (SRP) is a universally conserved ribonucleoprotein involved in the co-translational targeting of proteins to membranes. The record is from Rfam by way of RNAcentral. Lineage: Bacteria; Pseudomonadati; Pseudomonadota; Betaproteobacteria; Burkholderiales; Oxalobacteraceae.
GGCGGGCCCCUGCGCAUUGUGGCAUGGUCAACCUGGUCAGGUCGGGAACGAAGCAGCCACAGCCGUUCACCACGAGUGCCGCAGACAAGGCUCGCCUCC